This 242-nucleotide ribosomal RNA is filed under the name uncultured bacterium. Its description in RNAcentral is "partial 16S ribosomal RNA". It matches the Rfam family "Bacterial small subunit ribosomal RNA", at positions 118 to 352 of the family's 1533-position model. The record is from RNAcentral.
UGAGGAACAUGACCUUCGGCGGGGGAUAGCCGGCCCAACGGCCGGGUAAUACCGCGUACGACCACAUGGGGACAUCCCUGAGUGGUGAAAGCAGCAAUGCGCCGAUGGAGUGCCUCGCGGCCUAUCAGCUAGUUGGUGUGGGUAAUGGCCCACCAAGGCGACGACGGGUAGCCGGCCUGAGAGGGUGACCGGCCACACUGGGACUGAGACACGGCCCAGACCUCCCGUACGGGGAGGNAGCG